AAAGUUUUAGUAUAAAUGUUUAAAGUAUAAACUAUUGUCAAUAGUUAGGUGAAAACUUUA
This 60-nucleotide transfer RNA is filed under the name Cylicostephanus goldi. RNAcentral's name for it is "tRNA-Asp". Lineage: Eukaryota; Metazoa; Nematoda; Chromadorea; Rhabditida; Strongylidae. The record is from RNAcentral.